This 468-nucleotide ribosomal RNA is filed under the name uncultured bacterium. RNAcentral's name for it is "partial 16S ribosomal RNA". It matches the Rfam family "Bacterial small subunit ribosomal RNA", at positions 28 to 507 of the family's 1533-position model. The record is from RNAcentral.
GACGAACGCUGGCGGCGUGCUUAACACAUGCAAGUCGAACGGAAAGGCCCUGCUUUUGUGGGGUGCUCGAGUGGCGAACGCGUGCGUAACACGUGAGUAACCUGCCCUUGACUUUGGGAUAACUUCAGGAAACUGGGGCUAAUACCGGAUCGGAGCUCCUGCUGCAUGGUGGGGGUUGGAAAGUUUCGGCGGUUGGGGGUGGACUCGCGGCUUAUCAGCUUGUUGGUGGGGUAGUGGCUUACCAAGGCUUUGACGGGUAGCCGGCCUGAGAGGGGGACCGGCCACAUUGGGACUGAGAGACGGCCCAGACUCCUACGGGAGGCAGCAGUGGGGAAUAUUGCACAAUGGGCGGAAGCCUGAUGCAGCAACGCCGCGGGCGGGAUGACGGCCUUCGGGUUGUAAACCGCUUUCGCCUGUGACGAAGCGUGAGUGACGGUAAUGGGUAAAGAAGCACCGGCUAACUACGUG